This 710-nucleotide long non-coding RNA is filed under the name Mus spretus (western wild mouse). Its description in RNAcentral is "predicted gene 15458 (ENSMSPG00010050077.1)". Lineage: Eukaryota; Metazoa; Chordata; Mammalia; Rodentia; Muridae. The record is from RNAcentral.
GAGACUGGAGGCUAGGCCAUCGCUGAGCUCAGAGGAUAUCACAGCUGGCUUCUCCAGUCCUGGACUCCCAGGAGACGGCUUCAGAAUGGUCGCCUCUCAGCCUGUCUGGUCCCACACACUGCCUGGAGAGAUCAGCCCACUGCUGGCUGGAUCCAGAGGUGACCUGGUACCUCCUCCUUCCUCCACAGCCUGCCUUCUUCUUUUUCUCAAAAGCCAUGAAAAAGGAGAUAAUGGAGAUGAAUCAUCUGGCUUCGGACGGAACAAACAGGCUGUCUGUGACCAGGAGCCCAGGAUGGAAACCCUAGCCUCUACCUGAUGGAGGGGUUGGCAAGAGUGGGGCAGAGCUGGACCAGGCUCCGGUCCAGAUGCCUUGUGAGCUGGCAUACCUCACUGCCUGCCUUUCUCCCUGCCCAGGUUGGAAACCUGGGGGGCCAGGCUCCUAGGCAAGGCCUUUGAAGGGACACCUGACUCAGCGGGACCUCAGCUUGCCAUUACCCCUUGAUGUCACCCCCUCCUUGCUCAGGCUAUAGAGGGACUGGGGAGAGGACAGAGAGGUCUGUCUGCACUGGGCCUUCUCUGGUGAACUUUAAGAAAGCUCAGAGGUGAACUGGCCCAAGGCCCAGGGGCUGAUGGGAGGUGGUUUGGCAGCUGUCUCCAGAAGAGGAGAUCGGAGAGCGGAAGGGAAAAAAGAGGAUUCUAGUGUCCCCCAC